Molecule: ribosomal RNA, 301 nt
Filed under: uncultured bacterium
Lineage: Bacteria
Description: partial 16S ribosomal RNA
Rfam family: Bacterial small subunit ribosomal RNA
Source: RNAcentral
CAGCAGCCACGGGAAUACGGAGGGUGCAAGCGUUAAUCGGAAUUACUGGGCGUAAAGCGCACGCAGGCGGUUUGUUAAGUCAGAUGUGAAAUCCCCGAGCUUAACUUGGGAACUGCAUUUGAAACUGGACGGCUAGAGUGUGUCAGAAGAUGGUGGAAUUCCCGGUGUAGCGGUGAAAUGCGUAGAGAUCGGAAGGAACAUCUGUGGCGAAGGCGACUAUCUGGGCCAAUACUGACGCUCAUGCACGAAAGCGUGGGGAGCAAACAGGAUUAGAUACCCCAGUAGUCCCUGUCUCUUAUAC